This 497-nucleotide ribosomal RNA is filed under the name uncultured bacterium. RNAcentral describes it as "partial 16S ribosomal RNA". It matches the Rfam family "Bacterial small subunit ribosomal RNA", at positions 28 to 507 of the family's 1533-position model. The record is from RNAcentral.
GAUGAACGCUGGCGGCGUGCCUAAUACAUGCAAGUCGAGCGAACGGACGCGAAUCUUGCUUUUCUGAUGUUAGCGGCGGACGGGUGAGUAACACGUGGAUAACCUACCUAUAAGACUGGGAUAACUUCGGGAAACCGGAGCUAAUACCGGAUAAUAUUUUGAACCGCAUGGUUCAAAAGUGAAAGACGGUCUUGCUGUAACUUAUAGAUGUAUCCGCGCUGCAUUAGCUAGUUGGUAAGGUAACGGCUUACCAUGGCAACGAUGCCUAGCCGACCUGAGAACGUGUACGGCCCCACAGGAACUGAGACACGGUCCAGACUCCGACGGGAGGCCGAGGUAGCGAAGCUUCCGCGAUGGGGGAAAGCCUGACGGAGCAACGCCGCGUGAGUGAUGAAGGUCUUCGGGUCGUAUAACUCUGUUAUUAGUGAAGACCACAUGUGUAAGUAACUGUGCACAUCUUGACGGUACCUGCUCAGAAAGCCACGGCUAACUACGUG